AUGAAGAAAUUAUUUCCUGGAAAUUGAUGUUUGAGCUAAAAUUUUAGUAUGAAACUGUUUGCACUGUGUAAUGUACAAUGGGUAUUUAAUUUAUGAUGAAUAAUUGUGUAUUAGAUUUAUUGUGAUAGAUGUACUAUUGGAUUCUGAAUAAUGAGGUUGAUAGAUUUCAACUGCAUAUGAGUUUAGAUGAAUAAACAUAGUGAUUUAAGCAUUUUAGGCUUAAAUAAAA
RNAcentral lists this long non-coding RNA (229 nucleotides) under Vigna radiata. RNAcentral's name for it is "long non-coding RNA (VRAD_LNC003283)". Lineage: Eukaryota; Viridiplantae; Streptophyta; Magnoliopsida; Fabales; Fabaceae. The record is from RNAcentral.